Cotesia glomerata is the source of this 225-nucleotide long non-coding RNA. RefSeq lists it as uncharacterized. The transcript is spliced from 3 exons. NCBI's taxonomy places the organism in Eukaryota, Metazoa, Arthropoda, Insecta, Hymenoptera, Braconidae. The record is from RefSeq and is a predicted model, not a curated record.
AAAUUUGUAAAAUCUGGGGUCAUCUGAGUGAUCCGAACGGAAAUGUAGCCAAUGUAAUAAUUGUAAAGGGAUUCAAAAAGUAACUUGCUUUCUAACAAGUUAUAUACAUUUAACACUUCAUAUAUAACACUAAAUAGAGGUCAAAUAAUAGUAAAUCCUAUGUAAUAAAAUACACACAUUAAAACAUUUAAAUACCAUAUUUGUGGAAAAAUUUAACUGUAAGCA